Molecule: ribosomal RNA, 773 nt
Filed under: uncultured Neocallimastigales
Lineage: Eukaryota; Fungi; Neocallimastigomycota; Neocallimastigomycetes; Neocallimastigales
Description: partial large subunit ribosomal RNA
Rfam family: Eukaryotic large subunit ribosomal RNA
Source: RNAcentral
UACACGCUGUGACUAGCAUAUCAAUAAGCGGAGGAAAAGAAACUAACAAGGAUUCCCUCAGUAACGGCGAGUGAAGCGGGAAGAGCUCAAAUUUGAAAUCUUGAAAGGUCACCUUUCACGAAUUGUAGUUUAAAGAAGUGUUUUCUGUUACGAUCGUAAUAUAAGUUCUUUGGAAUAGGACAUCACAGAGGGUGAGAAUCCCGUCUAUGAUUGCGAUUUGUAGCUUUGUGAUACACUUUCAAAGAGUCGGGUUGUUUGGGAAUGCAGCCCAAAACGGGAGGUAAAUUUCUUCUAAGGCUAAAUAUUGGCGAGAGACCGAUAGCGAACAAGUACCGUGAGGGAAAGAUGAAAAGAACUUUGAAAAGAGAGUUAAACAGUACGUGAAAUUGUCAAAAGGGAAGCGUUUGACACCAGUGUUGUUUUCUCGAAAAUCAAUUAAAAAUGGCUCGAUUUUGUAUUGCUGAGACCUUAAAAGCUCACUGUACAUUUUUCGUGUCUUUUUUAAUGCACUUUUCGUUUAACAAGUCAACAUCAGUUUCUUUUGUUGUAAAAGGGUCAUUGGAAGGUGGCUUUCUUUUCGGAGAAAGUGUUUAUAGCCUUUGGCCUCUGCAAUCGAAGAGACUGAGGUCUGCAGCGUAGACUCUUCGGGGUUAGAUACAUUUGUGCUAAGUUAUAGCUUUUUAUAGACAACUUGUUGACUAUAAUUAGUCUUGUAGCUUACUCGCUUAUGCUAUUUUACCUACGCUUAGGAUGUUGAGUAGCGACAUACGCAC